Long non-coding RNA from Scatophagus argus, 251 nucleotides. RefSeq lists it as uncharacterized. The record is from RefSeq and is a predicted model, not a curated record. The transcript is spliced from 3 exons. NCBI's taxonomy places the organism in Eukaryota, Metazoa, Chordata, Actinopteri, Scatophagidae.
GAGGGUUACUAUUACUCACCGUGUACCUGCACCUUCCUUUGUCCUCACGCUGGUGUCACCUGCUGCAAUUCACGUAUAAAAAGAUGAGCUGAGAAUCUUUGUCCACCACAGGAGACAACAGGCGAGCAGAGAACACAAACCCAGAGCAGAGACGAGAAACUACAACUUCAUCAUCAUGAUCGCAAAGAUUUGUGUCGUCCUCCUUCUGUUUGUUGCCUCUGGCAACACACAGACAACCACAGCUGCUGCAG